RNAcentral lists this ribosomal RNA (255 nucleotides) under uncultured bacterium. RNAcentral describes it as "partial 16S ribosomal RNA". It matches the Rfam family "Bacterial small subunit ribosomal RNA", at positions 333 to 587 of the family's 1533-position model. The record is from RNAcentral.
AGCCUCCUACGGGAGGCAGCAGUGGGGAAUAUUGCACAAUGGGCGCAAGCCUGAUGCAGCGACGCCGCGUGCGGGAUGGAGGCCUUCGGGUUGUAAACCGCUUUUGUUCAAGGGCAAGGCACGGUCUUUGGCCGUGUUGAGUGGAUUGUUCGAAUAAGCACCGGCUAACUACGUGACAGCAGCCGCGGUAAUACGUAGGGUGCAAGAGUUAUCCGGAUUUAUUGGGCGUAAAGGGCUCGUAGGCGGUUCGUCGCG